RNAcentral lists this ribosomal RNA (450 nucleotides) under uncultured bacterium. RNAcentral describes it as "partial 16S ribosomal RNA". It matches the Rfam family "Bacterial small subunit ribosomal RNA", at positions 29 to 523 of the family's 1533-position model. The record is from RNAcentral.
AACGAACGCUGGCGGCAUGCCUAACACAUGCAAGUCGAACGAGAUCUUCGGGUCUAGUGGCGCACGGGUGCGUAACGCGUGGGAAUCUGCCCUUUGGUUCGGAAUAACAGUUGGAAACGACUGCUAAUACCGGAUGAUGACGAAAGUCCAAAGAUUUAUCGCCAGAGGAUGAGCCCGUCGUAGGAUUAGCUAGUUGGUGUGGUAAAGGCGCACCAAGGCGACGAUCCUUAGCUGGUCUGAGAGGAUGAUCAGCCACACUGGAACUGAGACACGGCCCAGUAUCCUACGGGAGGCAGCAGUGGGAAAUAGGGGACAAGGGGCGAAGGCCUGACCCAGAAUGGCCGCGUGGGUGAUGAAGGCUUGGGGGUUGUAAAGCUUUUUUACCGGGGAUGAAAAUGACAGUACCGGAAGAAUAAGCUCCGGCUAACUCCGUGCCAGCCGCCGCCGUAA